UGGGGAAUUGUUCACAAUGGGCGCAAGCCUGAUGACGCAACGCCGCGUGGGGGAUGAAGGUCUUCGGAUCGUAAACCCCUGUCGAAUGGGACGAAAGACUCGCGAGUGAAUACUUCGCGAGAGUGACGGUACCGUUAAAGGAAGCCACGGCUAACUCUGUGCCAGCAGCCGCGGUAAUACAGAGGUGGCAAGCGUUGUUCGGAAUUACUGGGCGUAAAGGGCGCGUAGGCGGCCCUCUAAGUCAGACGUGAAAUCCCCGGGCUCAACCUGGGAACUGCGUUUGUGACUGUGUUGCUAGAGUGUAGCAGAGGGGGGUGGAAUUCCACGUGUAGCAGUGAAAUGCGUAGAGAUGUGGAGGAACACCGAUGGCGAAGGCAGCCCCCUGGGUUAACACUGACGCUCAUGCACGAAAGCGUGGGGAGCAAACAGGAUUAGAUACCCUUGUAGUCCCUGAGCGGGCUGGCAAGGCGCAU
This 473-nucleotide ribosomal RNA is filed under the name uncultured bacterium. RNAcentral's name for it is "bacterial SSU rRNA". It matches the Rfam family "Bacterial small subunit ribosomal RNA", at positions 355 to 825 of the family's 1533-position model. The record is from RNAcentral.